Molecule: long non-coding RNA, 383 nt
Organism: Erigeron canadensis
Lineage: Eukaryota; Viridiplantae; Streptophyta; Magnoliopsida; Asterales; Asteraceae
Exons: 3
Source: RefSeq, a predicted model, not a curated record
CCAAAACACACACUAACACUAUUGCUCUGCAGCCCCCUUUUAAGGAGGAGAAAUGGGCUCGUUAAUAAAGAUUGUAGCCUCCAGCAGCAGGCUUCCCCGCUGUCUCAUCCCAUCAUCACGUGCCUUGGUGGCUACUCAUCAACGCUGCUUCUGUAGCACCACCACUAUCAACGAUGAUGGUCGCGGUUUUAAGAAUAAUCUCCUCCGUGUUCGUAACGUUGCCGUUCAUAGGAUGUCUAACUUCAUAUACGAAAAUAUAAUGAAUUGAUUCGGGCUAUUCAACGAGAGGGCUUAUUGUAUAAAAGCGACAGUAAUUGCGCCAACAGACGUGGAAAACGAUGAAUGUCUCUGCUGCUACUUAGAAAUGAAAGGAGUCAUUUCCC